RNAcentral lists this transfer RNA (71 nucleotides) under Ictidomys tridecemlineatus (thirteen-lined ground squirrel). Its description in RNAcentral is "Spermophilus tridecemlineatus (thirteen-lined ground squirrel) tRNA". It matches the Rfam family "tRNA". Rfam says of the family: Transfer RNA (tRNA) molecules are approximately 80 nucleotides in length. The record is from Rfam by way of RNAcentral. Lineage: Eukaryota; Metazoa; Chordata; Mammalia; Rodentia; Sciuridae.
GGAAUGUAGCUCAGUGGUAGAGUGCAUGCCUGGCAUGCAUGGGGCCCUAGGUUCAAUCCCUAGCACUUCCA